UCUCUAGCUCUGUCUUCUCGGCAUUGCUACCAACCGCUGUACUGUCGGCCACAAUAAUGGGCCACAGUACCAACGAACCAAACAACUGCUAUCCCUGCGCGCCACAGAACACAUGAUGCCAGGAAGGGCUCCACAUACAUAUAUAUAUGUAGUACAGUUGCUGUUCUGUCGGUCAGAUAGUCCGUGGUCAGUGGGCUGCCGCUGUCGCUCUGGCAAUGUGUGGCAAGCUGACUACCGUCAGUCGAGGCAGAGCUGCGAAAACUGACCGGGUGCUGAAGCGCGAUCGCAGACCAUAUGUAGGCAGCUGGUGCCGAGUGCGUAUAUAUAGUUAUUGAGCUGUGAAAGUCCUUAUAAUGUCUGGCACAGCUAAAGCUACGUACCAGCCAGGACAAUAUGACCAUCACACGAUGACGUCGUACAUUAUCGUGCAUGUAACCAGAGACACUGAGCGACUCAAUAGAGAUGCAGUUCUUUGAAUCCUCCUGUUCAUUAGCACAGCUGCGGAGCUUCGACGACGAAAAUAGCCAUCGGACGACUGAAUCCAUCGCAUGGCGGCUUCACAAAUACCAAUCGUCUCCGUUAGCCACCAGCCAGCUGACAGCAGUGCACUCAGUUACCCUAGACGGCGUAGUAACCUUAUUCAAAAUCUCAUCUGGAAAAUAUGAACAUCUUUGCUCAUGAGAGGUGUUCGUACUUCGGAAUUCAAUACUCGAUCUAAAGGAGAUAGAGCAGGUUCGAAAACGAUGUACUUAUUUAAAUCAUCCGGUGAAUACUGUAGACGGGGUCGCAAGAGAAAACAGUCAAGAUCGAUGAUGGUUUUGCUAGAUUUAGAGAACAGCCAAUAAGUGGAUGCGAUAUGACGGACUCGUCUGAAACAGAAGUACGAAACCAUCUGGAUGAGUUCCAAGCCUUUGGAUUGACAUGAGGAAUGGAAUAUAAAGAAAGGACGAAAGAGCGCUAACGAUCGAGACGACUUCAUAAACAAAACACUUAACCUUGUUGCACGUUUGAAUGAUUACCGAUGUUGUGUAUGUACGUGUAUGGCAUGUUUUAGGCUAACCUUCAUUGACUGGCGUUGCCAACAAUACCAAUAACUGAUAACUGACUUUGUGUGAUAAGAAAUUACUCGGACUCAGCUGGCCCGCCUUCUGUAAGUUCAAUUUCUAUUUGGAUUUGAAAUACAUUAUGAUGUCCAGUUAAUUUUUUUGUCGAUCCUAUAUAUGCGUCGAGAAAAGAACAAGUGUUGGCGACAAGAAUCUGAAUCGCGCCUUUUAGAUUUCACGGUGACGAUGCCUGAGAGAUGACCAACCCGCAUAAACAGAAAUCAGUCAACAAGGUAUAAUGAACACAAAAGACCAGGGGGCACGUAUGUCGGGACAGAAUGGUUGUUCGGCCUUGUCGCUGUACAAGUGUUUACUCUUCUUACUAAUCCCCUGGUUGACGACCGAUUUACGCUACCGAGGAUUCGAGAACCCAGGCCGCUCGAUUUCUUCCCACUAGAACAUGUCGGUCAUAAAUGCCGGCGCUUCGUGUCCUUCGAUCGAACGGUCAAUUGAGAUGUAAGCCACGCACUACAAAAAUAUUAAUUUACCUCAUCUAGAAAAUAGCUGUAACCCUAUGGAUGUAAGAGGACUGUAAGAGAAUCAUCCUAUUCCAUUUCGCGACCGAAAAGGAUUCUACAGAUGAUUUUAUAACAAAUUUCAUCAAGUCUUUGAAUUGAAAUUUAGUAAAGAUUGAUUGUAUAGUGAUGUACUGAAAGUGUCCUUAACUUGCCACAAUAUAUGCUGCUAUCGAAUCUUAGAAGUUCAUCUCUUUGCAGUCAGUAUAAUGAGAAGUGUGCGUCAGUUCAAAUAUAAGCCCAAAUAUGAUAUGCCGAUUUGACGGCCGUUUCGCUUGAACCCUGAUAACAGACAACGACACCGUUGUAGAGCGACUAUCGGUACAUUGUUGUUGCGCAUUGGAAUUGUACAUCGCCAAACGUUGAUGCCAAAAUUUAAGUUAUUCGGCCCAGCAAAGUUUGCCUUGGAAAUUGUUUUUCAACAGAUGUUUUUAUAUUAUAUAACAGCAUUAGAACGGGUUUUGUCGUACUGCCGUACAUAUUGUGUCAACACUGCAAUGUUGAGAGCUAAAUGGCCCAUCAUGAAAUUGUGGGGCACCAUGCGUAUGUUCAUAACUUAAUCAGGCUUUGCCUACACAGCCUCCAGCUGACAUAGCUCAACUCAUUAAAUAGCGCACUUAACAACACUGCAGCCUAUUGUAGCUUCUUUUCAAAAUGGCGCUUGAUGCUAUCCAUUAUAAAUGCGUACGUUUAUAUCCCACUAACACCUAUAUGUUUCUAGGCAGCAUUCAACACGGUGGUUCCACAUGAGGUUCCGUUUCGCAUUAUAGAACAACAGUAAUCUCAUACUAUUUGAACACUAACUGUUUGAGAUAGUGCUGUUUUAACGCACUUUCAUGUAAGGGGAAAUUCACCUGCGUCAGGUUUGUUGGAUUGGUAUUUCCAUGCAAAGGUUAGGCUGGCGGAAAAGCCUUUGUGACGGACUUGUUCAGAAGACAAUUUCCGGCGAUGGCCUAAUUUUCCAGCUCUGCUGAGCAACUCUCUAGAUACUUUUCGGCAUAGCUAUCGUUUAGUAUUUUCAUGUUCGGAGUCGAUGAGGACGGCAGAUUAGGAGGACUUUGUAAGCAAAAUGUCGGAGGGCGUGCAUUCCCUGCAGAACUUCAGUGUCAAUAGAAACGAAAACAACGAGAAGCAAACGCCGUGACAACGUAGCUUACUUCAAAGUAUUUCAUAAAAGUCGAUAUCUUAUAGCGCUCUGAUGUCUACGGAAAGGUAGCAGUCUUAAGAAACACUUUCGCCUAACCCCGUAUUCGAUAAUACUGUUAAAAAUUACCGAAGCUUAAAUAAAUUCUUUUCAGCAUGAACAUAAAUGAGCAGUCAUAUUGACGUAACCUAUAGAAAACAUCAGGACUAAUCCUGUUUACGUGCAUCUUCAAUCAGCUUCUGGGAUACAAUACUGCUAGAGCAAUAAUUCAGUGUGUCUUAGCUUUUUUUCUUUGUAGAACUUUC
Molecule: long non-coding RNA, 3067 nt
Filed under: Varroa destructor (honeybee mite)
Lineage: Eukaryota; Metazoa; Arthropoda; Arachnida; Mesostigmata; Varroidae
Description: uncharacterized LOC111255452
Source: RNAcentral